This 335-nucleotide unclassified non-coding RNA is filed under the name soil metagenome. RNAcentral describes it as "partial contains 5.8S ribosomal RNA, internal transcribed spacer 2, and large subunit ribosomal RNA". The stretch from base 1 to 120 matches the Rfam family "5.8S ribosomal RNA", at positions 35 to 154 of the family's 154-position model. The record is from RNAcentral.
GAUGAAGAACGCAGCGAAAUGCGAUAAGUAGUGUGAAUUGCAGAAUUCAGUGAAUCAUCGAAUCUUUGAACGCACAUUGCGCCCCUUGGUAUUCCAUGGGGCAUGCCUGUUCGAGCGUCAUUUGUACCUUCAAGCUUUGCUUGGUGUUGGGUGUUUGUCUCGCCUUUGCGUGUAGACUCGCCUUAAAAUAAUUGGCAGCCGGCGUAUUGAUUUCGGAGCGCAGUACAUCUCGCGCUUUGCACUCAUAACGACAGCGUCCAAAAGUACAUUUUACACUCUUGACCUCGGAUCAGGUAGGGAUACCCGCUGAACUUAAGCAUAUCAAUAAGGGAGGA